CCUACGGGAGGCAGCAGUGGGGAAUAUUGGACAAUGGGGGCAACCCUGAUCCAGCCAUGCCGCGUGUGUGAAGAAGGCCCUCGGGUUGUAAAGCACUUUCAGUGAGGAAGAACGCCUGGUGGUUAAUACCCAUCAGGAAAGACAUCACUCACAGAAGAAGCACCGGCUAACUCCGUGCCAGCAGCCGCGGUAAUACGGAGGGUGCGAGCGUUAAUCGGAAUUACUGGGCGUAAAGCGCGCGUAGGUGGCUUGAUAAGCCGGUUGUGAAAGCCCCGGGCUCAACCUGGGAACGGCAUCCGGAACUGUCAAGCUAGAGUGCAGGAGAGGAAGGUAGAAUUCCCAGUGUAGCGGUGAAAUGCGUAGAGAUCGGGAGGAAUACCAGUGGCGAAGGCGGCCUUCUGGACUGACACUGACACUGAGGUGCGAAAGCGUGGGUAGCAAACAGGAUUAGAUACCCCGGUAGUC
RNAcentral lists this ribosomal RNA (465 nucleotides) under Vreelandella stevensii. RNAcentral describes it as "partial 16S ribosomal RNA". It matches the Rfam family "Bacterial small subunit ribosomal RNA", at positions 338 to 795 of the family's 1533-position model. The record is from RNAcentral. Lineage: Bacteria; Pseudomonadati; Pseudomonadota; Gammaproteobacteria; Oceanospirillales; Halomonadaceae.